RNAcentral lists this transfer RNA (72 nucleotides) under Botrytis cinerea T4. Its description in RNAcentral is "tRNA-Arg (TCT) (tRNA-Arg-TCT-1-1)". It matches the Rfam family "tRNA". Rfam says of the family: Transfer RNA (tRNA) molecules are approximately 80 nucleotides in length. Their secondary structure includes four short double-helical elements and three loops (D, anti-codon, and T loops). The record is from RNAcentral. RNAcentral also lists the same sequence under 1 other name. Lineage: Eukaryota; Fungi; Ascomycota; Leotiomycetes; Helotiales; Sclerotiniaceae.
UCCCUGCUGGCGCAAUGGUAGCGCGUAAGACUUCUAAUCUUAAGGUUGUAGGUUCGACCCCUACGUAGGGAG